AUGGGUUCUGCUAUUUCCAUGAAAAGGGCCUGGCUGGCGAUCAGGGGGAUUAGUGAAGCCAAAGCUGAUAAAAUUCUGACUGAGGCAGCUAAAUUAGUUCCGAUGGGUUUUACCACUGCAACUGAGUUCCACCAAAGGCGAUCAGAGAUCAUACAGAUUACUACUGGCUCCAAAGAACUGGACAAACUACUUCAAGGAGGAAUUGAAACUGGAUCCAUCACAGAGAUGUUUGGAGAAUUCCGAACUGGGAAGACCCAGAUCUGUCAUACAUUGGCUGUAACAUGCCAGCUUCCCAUUGACCGGGGUGGAGGUGGAGGAAAGGCCAUGUACAUUGACACCGAGGGUACCUUUAGGCCAGAGCGGCUGCUAGCAGUGGCUGAGAGAUAUGGCCUCUCUGGCAGUGAUGUCCUAGAUAAUGUAGCAUAUGCUCGUGGGUUCAACACAGACCACCAGACCCAGCUGCUUUAUCAAGCAUCAGCUAUGAUGGUAGAGUCCAGGUAUGCACUGCUGAUUGUGGACAGUGCCACCGCCCUCUACAGAACAGACUAUUCCGGUCGAGGUGAACUGUCAGCCAGGCAGAUGCACUUGGCCAGGUUUCUGCGGAUGCUUCUGCGACUUGCUGAUGAGUUUGGUGUAGCUGUGGUAAUCACCAACCAGGUGGUAGCCCAAGUGGAUGGAGCAGCCAUGUUUGCUGCAGAUCCUAAAAAACCUAUUGGAGGAAAUAUCAUUGCUCAUGCCUCAACAACCAGACUGUACCUGAGAAAAGGAAGAGGGGAAACCAGAAUCUGCAAAAUCUAUGACUCUCCCUGUCUGCCUGAAGCUGAAGCUAUGUUUGCCAUCAAUGCGGAUGGAGUGGGAGACGCCAAAGACUGAAUCAUUGGGUUUUUCCCGUGAUAAACCUGAGUGCUGCAGCCUCACGGAGAAGACUGCUCCCUGGGGUUCUUCGCAGGCCUCUUCCUGUUGUGACUGCCAGAAAAAGGGCAUCUGGGAACACAGCUAUUGUAUCAGCUUUUCUGAUGGAGUAAACAGGAGACAGUCAGUAGUCACACAAAAAAAAAAAAAA
This is an RNA transcript of Myotis brandtii (Brandt's bat), 1063 nucleotides long. It is a transcript of the gene named DNA repair protein RAD51 homolog 1 pseudogene, with no coding region annotated. NCBI's taxonomy places the organism in Eukaryota, Metazoa, Chordata, Mammalia, Chiroptera, Vespertilionidae. The record is from RefSeq and is a predicted model, not a curated record. The transcript has 2 exons.